This 484-nucleotide ribosomal RNA is filed under the name uncultured bacterium. Its description in RNAcentral is "partial 16S ribosomal RNA". It matches the Rfam family "Bacterial small subunit ribosomal RNA", at positions 28 to 523 of the family's 1533-position model. The record is from RNAcentral.
GACGAACGCUGGCGGCGUGCUUAACACAUGCAAGUCGAACGAUGAAGCUGGAGCUUGCUCCGGUGGAUUAGUGGCGAACGGGUGAGUAACACGUGAGCAAUCUGCCCUUGACUCUGGGAUAACUGCGGGAAACUGUAGCUAAUACCGGAUACUUUCACUGGAAGGCAUCUUCUGGUGAAGAAAGAAUCUCGGUCAAGGAUGAGCUCGCGGCCUAUCAGCUUGUUGGUGAGGUAGCGGCUCACCAAGGCGACGACGGGUAGCCGGCCUGAGAGGGUGACCGGCCACACUGGGACUGAGAUACGGCCCAGACUCCUACGGGAGGCAGCAGUGGGGAAUAUUGCACAAUGGGCGCAAGCCUGAUGCAGCGACGCCGCGUGAGGGAUGACGGCCUUCGGGUUGUAAACCUCUUUCAGUAGGGACGAAGCGCAAGUGACGGUACCUACAGAAGAAGGACCGGCCAACUACGUGCCAGCAGCCGCCGUAA